Molecule: long non-coding RNA, 900 nt
Organism: Diabrotica virgifera virgifera (western corn rootworm)
Lineage: Eukaryota; Metazoa; Arthropoda; Insecta; Coleoptera; Chrysomelidae
Exons: 2
Source: RefSeq, a predicted model, not a curated record
AAUGACCAACUAUUUUUAAUUUUUAUCAGUUUUAUAUUUAAUAUUUGUAUAUAAUAUUUUGUCAUCCACUGAUUUUAACAUCUGCAUGCCUGGAUCAUAUUCUUCAAACAAUUAUUUCGCAUUUUACAUUAGAAACACGCAAACACAACAUUUGUUGUUUUGCAAAGUUACAUAUAUGUAUUAUAAUAUUUUAGUUUUCCAUCGUUAGCUUCUAACAGGCUCACCGAAUGCCAGAACUCUUCAAUAACACCUGAAAUAGGUACUGAUUGCACUCCUACUUGAAAUCUGCAAGUUUGUUACACCAGAAUCCAGUUUCAUUUCUGUUUAAUAUUCAUCAUCUACGUCCUGUGGUGGGAUCACGAUCAGUAGAAUGGUAGAAUGCUGACGUCACAAAAAUAAUUCUACAAUCGACAAUUUUGGUAUCACGCUUGGGAAAGUAGAAUCGGUGCUCGGCAAUGUUCGGAUAUUCUACUAGCCGUGUUAAAAAUAUCGCUUCUUCUUCUUAAAAAUAUUGCUGUUUGACGUGUGGUUGUCUUUAUAUUGUGGUGGUUGUAUUCAAAAAGCUAACCUAAAGAAAGAUUAUUAUUUGUGAUUAUUUUCAAUUUGUAUAUUUUUGUCUUGGGUUGUUUGGAACUAUUUUAUUAGAAAUCACUAAAUUUUUGAAUUUUACCUGUGACUAGGGAACAUUGUUAUAUUAAGGUAUUUUUAUUCUUGGUAUGAAACAAUGUUAAGACAAUACUGUGUGCUUUUUAAGUCCUAUGAAAGAAAAUGUUUUGGAUGUAACAGAGAAGUACUACAACUUUGUUAUGAAGAUUUGUCUUUAUGUUAUUUUUAUAAUGUUCAUGGAUUAUAUUUGUUUUUAUGUUUUCUUCAGUUUAAAUAAAGUUUAUGUUUUACCCA